UCAAAUACUUGUUAGGCGAGACUCCUAAACAAACAUAGGCUAUUGCGCAGAAACGUCGAAAGACGCCAAUGUGUAAAACAGGAAUUGUCGAAUUAAGGCUCUUCAUAAGAUAGCUAAGAGAGAUUCUUUACGUUGUUUAGUGUCAAAACUCACACGAUGAGACAGUUGU
Non-coding RNA from Enterococcus villorum ATCC 700913, 169 nucleotides. NCBI's taxonomy places the organism in Bacteria, Bacillati, Bacillota, Bacilli, Lactobacillales, Enterococcaceae. The record is from Rfam.